UACGGGGGGGGCAAGCGUUGUUCGGAAUUACUGGGCGUAAAGGGCUCGUAGGUGGCCAACUAAGUCGGACGUGAAAUCCCUCGGCUUAACCGGGGAACUGCGUCCGAUACUGGUUGGCUUGAGUUCGGUAGGGGAGCAGGGAAUUCCUAGUGUAGCGGUGAAAUGCGCAGAUAUUAGGAGGAACACCGGUGGCGAAGGCGCUGCUCUGGGCCGAAACUGACGCUGAGGAGCGAAAGCGUGGGUAGCAAACAGG
RNAcentral lists this ribosomal RNA (253 nucleotides) under uncultured bacterium. RNAcentral's name for it is "partial 16S ribosomal RNA". It matches the Rfam family "Bacterial small subunit ribosomal RNA", at positions 524 to 776 of the family's 1533-position model. The record is from RNAcentral.